RNAcentral lists this ribosomal RNA (492 nucleotides) under uncultured bacterium. RNAcentral's name for it is "partial 16S ribosomal RNA". It matches the Rfam family "Bacterial small subunit ribosomal RNA", at positions 29 to 507 of the family's 1533-position model. The record is from RNAcentral.
AGUGAACGCUAGCGGUAGGCCUAACACAUGCAAGUCGAGCGGCAGCACAGUAAAAGCUUGCUCUUACGGGUGGCGAGUGGCAGACGGGUGUGGAAUACAUCCGACUCUACUUUUUCGUGGGGGAUAACGUAGGGAAACUUACGCUAAUACCGCAUACGACAUACCUGUGCAAGCAGGGGAUCUUCGGGACUUUCGCGAUAGGAUGAGCCGAUGUCGGAUUAGCUAGUUGGCGGGGUAAAGGCCCACCAAGGCGACGAUCCGUAGCUGGUCUGAGAGGAUGAGCAUCCACCCUGGAACUGAGACACGGCCCAGACCCCUACGGGAGGCAGCAGUGGGGAAUAUUGGACAAUGGGCGCAAGCCUGAUCCAGACAUACCGCGUGGGUGAAGAAGGCCUUCGGGUUGUAAAGCCCUUCUGUUGGGAAAGAAAAGUAGCAGGUGAAUACCCCGCUGUUCUGACGGUACCCAAAGAAUAAGCACCGGCUAACUUCGUG